UAGUACGUGAAACCGUUCAGGGGUAAACCUGAGAAACCCGAAAGUUCGAAUGAGAAGAUUCAGUAUCCUACCAUUUGGUCGACCAUUACAUUAUUUAUGUGAUAAUUUUUAAUAUCUUGUAUAUUAAUAUUACACUAAUUUGUUUUGAGAUUUGGCUAUGGAGAUAUGCACUUCUUCUCUAGUAGGACGUUGCAACCCAUUGGAUGUUAAUCUAAGGUCCCUUAUGGUAGCCUAUUUUAUAUAUAUUUCGGUAUAUGUGAUUUAGACCUUAGGUGUUUUGCCUGAUUAACUUGUUCGAUGGUAUGUCUUUAUAAUAUGGAGUCGCCUAUAUGGCAUUUAACUUUUUUUCAAGUGUGUAUGGAUUAAAUUUUGGCUAUCAGACCUAGUCUGGUACUGAAACCAUUACCACUGUUUGAAAAUUAUGUUGUAAUUAAAUUGACUCUUCUAUAUAGGUUAGCAACGCUUUUGCUUUGGGUACUUUCAGGACCCGUCUUGAAACACGGACCAAGGA
Molecule: ribosomal RNA, 511 nt
Filed under: Neopanorpa uncata
Lineage: Eukaryota; Metazoa; Arthropoda; Insecta; Mecoptera; Panorpidae
Description: eukaryotic LSU rRNA
Source: RNAcentral